This 3100-nucleotide ribosomal RNA is filed under the name Sphaerospora abrami. RNAcentral describes it as "partial 18S ribosomal RNA". The stretch from base 1605 to 3100 matches the Rfam family "Eukaryotic small subunit ribosomal RNA". The record is from RNAcentral. Lineage: Eukaryota; Metazoa; Cnidaria; Myxozoa; Bivalvulida; Sphaerosporidae.
GGUAGCGUGCAUUUGUUCGCCCAUUCCAAAACCAACACUGACUGAUCUAAACACACSGAGAGGUGAACAACCUCUGGCAACGCUGGCUGGGGUCUGCCAGGGGCGUGAAAGCGUCUCUGGUAUGGUUCCUUUCGGCCUGUGUGCGCACGGGUUAGUCAUGUUUACGGUGAUUCUGAAUAACUGAUGCUGAUCGUACAGGGCCACUGUGCCCACGAUAUUUCAAUCAAAUUCCUGCCCUAUCAUAUUUGUUGGUAGGGUAGCGGCCUACCAAGGUGACGACGGGUAACGGGGAAUCAGGGUUCGAUUCCGGAGAGGGAGCCUGAGAAACAGCUACCACGUCCAAGGAUGGCAGCAGGCGCGCAAACUAUCCAAUCCAGAUUCUGGGAGAUGGUGACGAGACAUAUUGGGACUCACCAGCAUCGCUGGUCGAGUUACCAGAUAGACUACAACCUAAAACAGUGCUAAAAUAAUCAACAGGAGGGCAAGUCUGGUGCCAGCAGCCGCGGUAAUACCAGCUCCUGUGGCCUAUAUGGUCGUUGUUGCGGUUAAAAAGCUCGUAGUCGAAAUACGGUGCGCUCGAAAGCUGCAUCAGUGGUAAGCCUGCCCAGGCUGUGUGGCAUACAUGUCCAUUUGUGCAACACACAGUACACUGUCCACUGUGUCGCGUGUGUGGUGAUGGUUGCGACCGUGCGUGUCAAAGCCACACGCAAUCCUCUCGCCACACACUCUCACGCUAUGUGUGUGACGGCGUGCGACACAGAUCAUGGCUCUGUGCGAGUGUUGUAGUAAUAUAUGGCCAGUCACACUGGCCUGUGUGAUGCAGUUACGCACUCUGGUGCUGUGUCACUGUCUGUCCUCUCUCGUGUGCUCUUCACUUCGGUGGAGAGUGUGUGAGGGAGCAGGUGGUGGCCUGCCAGGGUGUUUUACCAUUGAGACAGCAUUAGAGUGCGCUUUCUCGUCCAGCUUCAGUGCGUGUUUGGCUGUGUGUGAGCGUUCUGUGCGCACUGUGGCCUAGCGUCACGGUGUCGUCGAUCGUAUCUAAAUCACCGCACCUCACUGUUUAUAUCCUUCAGUGGAUACACUGAACGCUGAGCGAAUUGUGCCUUGAGUAAAAUAGAGUGCUCAAAGCAGGCUAGGCAUGUAACAGUGUCAUUGCCCGUAUACUCCAGCAUGGAACGAAUGUCCAAUUGCUUGAACCACCCUGCGGCCUGGUUUGUUGGUUGAAAGUGUAAGUGUGUGUGGUAAGACACGCGUGCUUGCACUUCGGUACAUAUGUGUGGUGUGUGAUUAUGUGUCCGACGCUGUGUGUGUGAACUCCAGGCCGUAUCCGCAAAUGUGUGUACCCGUGAUAUUUGUAAAAAUGUAUGUAGGCAGGACCAGGGUGUGUAUCUUUGUAUAGCCUCAUGUUCUCACUCUCUCAUGUGUGUGCGAGUGUACAUGAGGUGUCGUGUAGUAUGAAAUAUAAUGUGUGCGUGCGAGUGACUGCCCUGCCUUUACUCGCGUGUCUACGCACACCGUUAUGUGCAGUGUGUGUCUCGCGAGAGUCGUUUUGUGACGGCUGGUACGAGGUGGUGCUCGCGUUAUGCGUGCGCUUGCUCUCGACUAACCCUGUGUAUUAUAUAAGUGUGGAUGUGCAUGUGCCUGCAGCGUUACAUGACUUCGCCCUCCAGCAUGAUAUAUAUAAUAAAAGCAGACACACGCGUCUCGCGACAGUCCUCUACUAUGUGUGAGGUAGUGUGUCUGUGUGUCAUUGCUGUGACGAGGUGCAUAGCUGACAGGGUGUGUGUGCAUUCACACCUGCCCCGGGAACAAUACCACUUGUGCGUAUGGGUAUCGGUUAACAGAGACAUUUGGGGGCAUUGGUAUUUGGCCGCGAGAGGUGAAAUUCUGAGACCGGUCAAAGACUGACGAUUGCGAAAGCAUCUGCCAAAGGUGUCUUCAUUGACCAAGAACGACAGUUAGGGGAUCGAAGAUGAUCAGAUACCGUCGUAGUCCUAACUGUAAACUAUGCCAACCAGGGCUCAGGCCGGAUCGUGUAUAUUGAAAUAGAAUUUCAUAUAACUUUGAUCCAGGUUGGGCCCCCCGGGAAACCUAAAGUGUGUGGGUUCCGGGGGGAGUAUGGUUGCAAGGCUGAAACUUAAAGGAAUUGACGGAAGGGCACCACCAGGAGUGGAGCCUGCGGCCUAAUUUGACUCAACACGGGGAAUCUCACCAGGUCCGGACAUCGGAAGGAUUGACAGACUGAUAGAUCUUUCAUGAUUCGGUGAAUGGUGGUGCAUGGCCGUUCUUGGUUGGUGGAGUGAUUUGUCUGGUUUAUUCCGUGAACGAGCGCAACCACAGCCUCUAUUUUGGCCGUACGAAAGGCUACUGCCCUGUGUGUGGUGUGUUUACUCACACUGUGCGCAGGGUGCGUAUGUGAAUUUGCCACUAAUCGUGCUGGCACGUUAAGUCUCCAUCAUGUGUGUGGUGCAUGUGUGCGCGUCUCUGUGAGACGUGUGUGUGUUGUUGAUGCGCAUACCAAACGCUAUCGUGCUGCGCCAGCAUGCAUGCUGGCAGUGGACUAGAUGACGAUCGUGAUGACUCGCCAGACUGUCCGCUGUACUGUGUUGGUGAUUUGUGCGGUAGCGGUGUGUUGAUGAUGUGCACACGCUUCUUGCAGUAGGGCGUGUAUGUCUGUGUAUCAUGUGUGUGGUGGAGAUGUGUCAGAUAUAUGUCGAUUGGUGGGUGUUCGUGCGCCUUCAUAGAGGGACUACCGGUGGCAAAUCGGUGGAAGUGUGGCAAUAGCAGGUCAGUGAUGCCCUUCGAUGUUCUGGGCUGCACGCGUGCUACAAUGGUUACGACAAUGAGUGUGUCUGCGUCGAAAGAUGUGGGUAAUCUUCUCAAUCGUAGCCUUGCUGGGGAUUGAGCCUUGAAAUUAUUGCUCAUGAACCUGGAAUUCCUCGUAAGUACGAGUCACCAGCUCGUGCUGAAUACGUCUCUGCCCUUUGUACACACCGCCCGUCGCUACUACCGAUUGAAUGAUUCGGUGAGGGCAUGGGAUUGAUCGGUUUCGUUCAUUGUAAACUGGUCGAGAGCCUGUCCAAGCUGCAUCAGUCAGAGA